This 382-nucleotide ribosomal RNA is filed under the name Cellulosimicrobium sp. RNAcentral's name for it is "bacterial SSU rRNA". It matches the Rfam family "Bacterial small subunit ribosomal RNA", at positions 526 to 905 of the family's 1533-position model. Lineage: Bacteria; Bacillati; Actinomycetota; Actinomycetes; Micrococcales; Promicromonosporaceae. The record is from RNAcentral.
CGUAGGGCGCAAGCGUUGUCCGGAAUUAUUGGGCGUAAAGAGCUCGUAGGCGGUUUGUCGCGUCUGGUGUGAAAACUCGAGGCUCAACCUCGAGCUUGCAUCGGGUACGGGCAGACUAGAGUGCGGUAGGGGAGACUGGAAUUCCUGGUGUAGCGGUGGAAUGCGCAGAUAUCAGGAGGAACACCGAUGGCGAAGGCAGGUCUCUGGGCCGCAACUGACGCUGAGGAGCGAAAGCAUGGGGAGCGAACAGGAUUAGAUACCCUGGUAGUCCAUGCCGUAAACGUUGGGCACUAGGUGUGGGGCUCAUUCCACGAGUUCCGUGCCGCAGCAAACGCAUUAAGUGCCCCGCCUGGGGAGUACGGCCGCAAGGCUAAAACUCAAA